GCCCGCAUAGCUCAGUCGGCAGAGCAUCAGACUUUUAAUCUGAGGGUCGUGGGUUCAAGUCCCCCUGCGGGCG
RNAcentral lists this transfer RNA (73 nucleotides) under Octopus bimaculoides (California two-spot octopus). RNAcentral's name for it is "transfer RNA lysine (anticodon UUU)". It matches the Rfam family "tRNA". Rfam says of the family: Transfer RNA (tRNA) molecules are approximately 80 nucleotides in length. Their secondary structure includes four short double-helical elements and three loops (D, anti-codon, and T loops). Further hydrogen bonds mediate the characteristic L-shaped molecular structure. tRNAs have two regions of fundamental functional importance: the anti-codon, which is responsible for specific mRNA codon recognition, and the 3' end, to which the tRNAs corresponding amino acid is attached (by aminoacyl-tRNA synthetases). tRNAs cope with the degeneracy of the genetic code in two manners: having more than one tRNA (with a specific anti-codon) for a particular amino acid; and 'wobble' base-pairing, i.e. permitting non-standard base-pairing at the 3rd anti-codon position. The record is from RNAcentral. Lineage: Eukaryota; Metazoa; Mollusca; Cephalopoda; Octopoda; Octopodidae.